This 38-nucleotide ribosomal RNA is filed under the name uncultured organism. RNAcentral's name for it is "partial 16S ribosomal RNA". The record is from RNAcentral.
AGGACUUGACAUGGGCAGGACGGGUUCAGAGAUGGGCC